AACGAACGCUGGCGGCGUGCCUAACACAUGCAAGUCGAGCGAGACCUUCGGGUCUAGCGGCGGACGGGUUAGUAACGCGUGGGAACGUGCCCUUCUCUGCGGAAUAGCCACUGGAAACGGUGAGUAAUACCGCAUACGCCCUUCGGGGGAAAGAUUUAUCGGAGAAGGAUCGGCCCGCGUUAGAUUAGAUAGUUGGUGGGUAACGGCCUACCAAGUCUACGAUCUAUAGCUGGUUUUAGAGGAUGAUCAGCAACACUGGGACUGAGACACGGCCCAGACUCCUACGGGAGGCAGCAGUGGGGAAUCUUAGACAAUGGGCGCAAGCCUGAUCUAGCCAUGCCGCGUGUGUGAUGAAGGUCUUAGGAUCGUAAAGCACUUUCGCCAGGGAUGAUAAUGACAGUACCUGGUAAAGAAACCCCGGCUAACUCCGUG
RNAcentral lists this ribosomal RNA (432 nucleotides) under uncultured bacterium. RNAcentral's name for it is "bacterial SSU rRNA". It matches the Rfam family "Bacterial small subunit ribosomal RNA", at positions 29 to 507 of the family's 1533-position model. The record is from RNAcentral.